CGGCGGACGGCAGAGUAACACGUAGGAACAUACCCAAACUGAGGGAUAACUGCCCGAAAGGGUGGCUAAUACCGCAUGUGAUCUUCGGAUUAAAGCUUCGGCGGUUUGGGAAUGGCCUGCGUCUGAUUAGCUUGUUGGUGAGGUAAUGGCUCACCAAGGCGACGAUCAGUAGCUGGUCUGAGAGGAUGAUCAGCCUGACUGGAACUGAGAAAGGUCCGG
This 219-nucleotide ribosomal RNA is filed under the name uncultured bacterium. RNAcentral's name for it is "partial 16S ribosomal RNA". It matches the Rfam family "Bacterial small subunit ribosomal RNA", at positions 96 to 334 of the family's 1533-position model. The record is from RNAcentral.